UGGGGAAUAUUGGGCAAUGGGGGCAACCCUGACCCAGCAACGCCGCGUGAAGGAAGAAGGUCUUCGGAUUGUAAACUUCUGUCCUUGGGGACGAAACAAAUGACGGUACCCGAGGAGGAAGCCCCGGCUAACUACGUGCCAGCAGCCGCGGUAAUACGUAGGGGGCAAGCGUUGUCCGGAAUUACUGGGCGUAAAGGGAGCGCAGGCGGUCUGUUAAGUGAGAUGUGAAAUACCCGGGCUUAACCUGGGGGGUGCAUCCCAAACUGGCAGACUUGAGUGUGGGAGAGGAAAGUGGAAUUCCUAGUGUAGCGGUGAAAUGCGUAGAUAUUAGGAGGAACACCAGUGGCGAAGGCGGCUUUCUGGACCACAACUGACGCUGAGGCUCGAAAGCGUGGGGAGCAAACAGG
Molecule: ribosomal RNA, 407 nt
Filed under: uncultured bacterium
Lineage: Bacteria
Description: bacterial SSU rRNA
Rfam family: Bacterial small subunit ribosomal RNA
Source: RNAcentral